AUGGACAAACCACUCCUCAUCCAUCUAAGAAGAAACAACCUCGAUGUCUCGCCUGAUUACAAACCUCGGACCUCCUUUCGGACCCAGCGGCCGGACACCGGCCGGCUGGAUAAACAGGGAGGGAGCAGACAAGGAGGGAGCAGCAGGGGUCCGGCGCGAAGAAGCAGAACAUAUGUUACCCAACGUGUGGGGAUCCAGGACCAAGGGGUCGGAGCGGCGGAUAGAGGUGGCUGGGAUUACGGGCAACGAACAACGAUGUCUCUCACGGUGGCGGUGAUGUGCAUCCUGUUUAGUUUAGUGCCCGCAAAUCCCCCUGCGUACCGUGGUAAAAAAAAGGCCCCACGAUUAUGUUCGCCGCAACCGCCGCACUCGUUGCCCCUCAUCCUCGGCAGCGAGAGGCACGGGGGAGCUGCCGCCGGUCAAGAUGGGCGCCGGGGCGCCGCGCUCUACCUCGGCACCAACGCCCUCUGCGACGUCGAGGGCGGCCACCGGGCCAUCGUCUUCGACCGCCUCGACGCUGGGGAUCGAGGACAAGGUCUAGGUAUCCCGAGGGGACUCGCUCAUCAUCCCGUGGAUUCGAGAGGCCGGUCAUCCAGGACGUCCGCGCAUGACCCAAUUUCGUGGAGAGCACCUCCGGAAGAAGGGGUCUCCAGACGUCUUCUCCCUGUCGUCAUCGUCCUUCCUGCUGCCAGCUCCGCCCUUCUCCGCCUUAUCUCCACGGCAACGAUUCUGCUCCAUCCAUUGUUGAUGUUGCUAAUGUUGUUGUACAUACUACAUAAUGUUAUGACGGUGUUAAAUUCUGAAAUUCAAGCCUCCCAUUGUGGAGGCUGGCCUGUAGCUCGUGUGCACGGAGGAGAAGCACACUUCACUGAGAAGUUGUUGCCACUAUCCUCGGUGCCACCGCCAGUGACGAAACUUGGUGAUGUUGAGAGCAUGGAACUGAAAUUGACAUCAGAAAUAGACUUGUUAAGUGUUUGUGUUGCCACCAAUCAAAAGCUGGGUUGCAUUAGUGGAAAAUAUGCUGGAAAGAGAGUGUUCAUCCCUAUGAUCCCUUUGGCGCCCUCGGAGGACAUUUCGCUUCCUUUCAAGUUGAUGAAGAGGAAACAGUUCCCUGUUUGUCAGAGUUAUGCAAAGACCAUUAAUAUAGCCCAGGGGCAAACCAUCUCAACUGUCGGUAUGUACCUUCCGGAGUAUGUACUCUCGCAUGCCCAGGUUUAUCUUGCACUGUCAAGAGCUUUUUGUCUGGUCGCACCUAUAGGCAGUAUAGAGGAUCUACUCUCACUAACUGACCAACAUCUGAACGACUUCGACUGCUGCAUACAAGUCCAGCUAAGCACGGUGCAAGUUGCAUUUAUCAGACUGCACCUUGUUAUCAGAUUGCCUGUACAAAGACUGAAUUUUGUUGGCUGGUACUUGCGCAGCAAGGGUGCUACAUCAAAGCAUUUUAUUGAUUUGUAA
This 1458-nucleotide ribosomal RNA is filed under the name Triticum aestivum (bread wheat). RNAcentral describes it as "partial small subunit ribosomal RNA". The record is from RNAcentral. Lineage: Eukaryota; Viridiplantae; Streptophyta; Magnoliopsida; Poales; Poaceae.